GUGGGGAAUAUUGCACAAUGGGCGAAAGCCUGAUGCAGCAACGCCGCGUGAGGGACGACGGCCUUCGGGUUGUAAACCUCUUUUAGUAGGGAAGAAGCGAAAGUGACGGUACCUGCAGAAAAAGCACCGGCUAACUACGUGCCAGCAGCCGCGGUAAUACGUAGGGUGCAAGCGUUAUCCGGAAUUAUUGGGAGUAAAGAGCUCGUAGGCGGUCUGUCGCGUCUGCUGUGAAAACUGGAGGCUCAACCUCCAGCCUGCAGUGGGUACGGGCAGACUAGAGUGCGGUAGGGGAGAUUGGAAUUCCUGGUGUAGCGGUGGAAUGCGCAGAUAUCAGGAGGAACACCGAUGGCGAAGGCAGAUCUCUGGGCCGUAACUGACGCUGAGGAGCGAAAGCGUGGGGAGCGAACAGGAUUAGAAACCCUAGUAGUCC
Molecule: ribosomal RNA, 430 nt
Filed under: uncultured bacterium
Lineage: Bacteria
Description: bacterial SSU rRNA
Rfam family: Bacterial small subunit ribosomal RNA
Source: RNAcentral